Molecule: ribosomal RNA, 466 nt
Filed under: uncultured bacterium
Lineage: Bacteria
Description: bacterial SSU rRNA
Rfam family: Bacterial small subunit ribosomal RNA
Source: RNAcentral
GAUGAACGCUGGCGGCGUGCUUAACACAUGCAAGUCGAACGAAGAUGCCGGAGUGCUUGCACUUUGGCAGACUGAGUGGCGGACGGGUGAGUAACGCGUGGGUAACCUGCCUUAUACAGGGGGAUAACAGUUGGAAACGACUGCUAAUACCGCAUAAGCGCACGGUAUCGCAUGAUACAGUGUGAAAAACUCCGCUUUGAGAUGGCCUCGCGUCCGAUUAGCUAGUUGGUGAGGUAACGGCCCACCAAGGCGACGAUCGGUAGCCGGACUGAGAGGUUGAACGGCCACAUUGGGACUGAGACACGGCCCAGACUCCUACGGGAGGCAGCAGUGGGGAAUAUUGCACAAUGGGGGAAACCCUGAUGCAGCGACGCCGCGUGGAGGAAGAAGGUCUUCGGAUUGUAAACUCCUGUUGUUGGGGAAGAUAAUGACGGUACCCAACAAGGAAGUGACGGCUAACUACGUG